RNAcentral lists this ribosomal RNA (253 nucleotides) under uncultured bacterium. Its description in RNAcentral is "partial 16S ribosomal RNA". It matches the Rfam family "Bacterial small subunit ribosomal RNA", at positions 524 to 776 of the family's 1533-position model. The record is from RNAcentral.
UACGUAGGGUGCGAGCGUUAAUCGGAAUUACUGGGCGUAAAGCGUGCGCAGGCGGUUUGCUAAGACCGAUGUGAAAUCCCCGGGCUUAACCUGGGAACUGCAUUGGUGACUGGCAGGCUAGAGUAUGGCAGAGGGGGGUAGAAUUCCACGUGUAGCAGUGAAAUGCGUAGAGAUGUGGAGGAAUACCGAUGGCGAAGGCAGCCCCCUGGGCCAAUACUGGCGCUCAUGCACGAAAGCGUGGGGAGCAAACAGG